RNAcentral lists this long non-coding RNA (523 nucleotides) under Nicotiana benthamiana. Its description in RNAcentral is "long non-coding RNA (NBEN_LNC019592)". Lineage: Eukaryota; Viridiplantae; Streptophyta; Magnoliopsida; Solanales; Solanaceae. The record is from RNAcentral.
AAACACAAGAAAUUAUUUUAUUUUGAAUUUAUGGGAGUAAUUCAUAUAGGGAAAAAAUCACAUGCUCACAAAUGGCCUCUACCAUGCUGAAACUGCCCCUCGAAGGAGAACCACUAUAACUGCCCGAUCCUCGAGGCCUCUUGGCCUCCCUUUCCUCUCGCUCUUAUUGGUGAACCGACUCAAUCUCACGAGCGAUAUCAACCACCUUCUCGAACGAAGCACCAGAUACCCUCUCUCGGGUCAUAAGAAUACAGAGCUGGUAAGUAAGACCAUCAACAAAUCUCCUGAUCCUCUCUCGAUCUGUCGGAACCAACCAGAUGGCACGACGAGUCAACUUAGAAAACCUCGACUCAUACUGUGACAUAGUCAUCUCCCCCUAUCGCAACCACUCAAACUGCCUACACAGCUCCUCUCUACGGGACUACGACACAUACUUCUCCAGGAAGAGAACGAAGAACUGCUGCCAAGUAAGGGGUGCUACACCAACACGCCUAUGCCCCUCAUACGCCUCCCACCAAGUGAA